RNAcentral lists this ribosomal RNA (951 nucleotides) under Prevotellaceae bacterium. RNAcentral describes it as "bacterial SSU rRNA". It matches the Rfam family "Bacterial small subunit ribosomal RNA", at positions 465 to 1419 of the family's 1533-position model. The record is from RNAcentral. Lineage: Bacteria; Pseudomonadati; Bacteroidota; Bacteroidia; Bacteroidales; Prevotellaceae.
UUUAUUGCAGGUACCGUAUGAAUAAGGACCGGCUAAUUCCGUGCCAGCAGCCGCGGUAAUACGGAAGGUCCGGGCGUUAUCCGGAUUUAUUGGGUUUAAAGGGAGCGUAGGCCGGGUUUUAAGCGUGCCGUGAAAUGUCGGGGCUCAACCUUGACACUGCGGCGCGAACUGGAGUCCUUGAGUGCGCGGAACGUAUGCGGAAUUCGUGGUGUAGCGGUGAAAUGCUUAGAUAUCACGAAGAACCCCGAUUGCGAAGGCAGCAUACGGCAGCGCUACUGACGCUGAAGCUCGAAGGCGCGGGUAUCGAACAGGAUUAGAUACCCUGGUAGUCCGCGCGGUAAACGAUGGAUGCCCGCUGUUGGCGAUAUAUUGUCAGCGGCCAAGCGAAAGCGUUAAGCAUCCCACCUGGGGAGUACGCCGGCAACGGUGAAACUCAAAGGAAUUGACGGGGGCCCGCACAAGCGGAGGAACAUGUGGUUUAAUUCGAUGAUACGCGAGGAACCUUACCCGGGCUUGAACUGCCGGCGAACGAUCCAGAGAUGGUGAGGCCCUUCGGGGCGCCGGCGGAGGUGCUGCAUGGUUGUCGUCAGCUCGUGCCGUGAGGUGUCGGCUUAAGUGCCAUAACGAGCGCAACCCCUGUUCUCAGUUGCCAUCGGGUAAUGCCGGGCACUCUGUGAAGACUGCCUCCGUAAGGAGUGAGGAGGGUGGGGAUGACGUCAAAUCAGCACGGCCCUUACGUCCGGGGCUACACACGUGUUACAAUGGGUGGUACAGACGGUCGGCGUCCGGCAACGUACGUCCAAUCCGUAAAGCCGCCCUCAGUUCGGACUGGGGUCUGCAACCCGACCCCACGAAGCUGGAUUCGCUAGUAAUCGCGCAUCAGCCAUGGCGCGGUGAAUACGUUCCCGGGCCUUGUACACACCGCCCGUCAAGCCAUGAAAGCCGGGGGCG